This 433-nucleotide ribosomal RNA is filed under the name uncultured bacterium. RNAcentral's name for it is "partial 16S ribosomal RNA". It matches the Rfam family "Bacterial small subunit ribosomal RNA", at positions 29 to 507 of the family's 1533-position model. The record is from RNAcentral.
AACGAACGCUGGCGGCAUGCCUAACACAUGCAAGUCGAACGAGACCUUCGGGUCUAGUGGCGCACGGGUGCGUAACGCGUGGGAACCUGCCCUUAGGUUCGGAAUAACUCCCCGAAAGGGGUGCUAAUACCGGAUAAUGUCUUCGGACCAAAGAUUUAUCGCCUUUGGAUGGGCCCGCGUUGGGUUAGCUAGUUGGUAGGGUAAAAGCCUACCAAGGCGACGAUCCAUAGCUGGUCUGAGAGGAUGAUCAGCCACACUGGGACUGGGACACGGCCCAGACUCCUACGGGAGGCAGCAGUGGGGAAUAUUGGACAAUGGGCGAAAGCCUGAUCCAGCAAUGCCGCGUGAGUGAUGAAGGCCUUAGGGUUGUAAAGCUCUUUUACCCGGGAUGAUAAUGACAGUACCGGGAGAAUAAGCUCCGGCUAACUCCGUG